GUCUGCAGCCAUGCUACCCUGAACAAGCCCGAUCCCGUCUGAUCUCGGAAGCUAAACGGGGUCGGGCCUGGUUAGUACUUGGAUGGGAGACCACCUAGGAAGACCAGGUGCUGUAGGUG
RNAcentral lists this ribosomal RNA (119 nucleotides) under Pteropus alecto (black flying fox). Lineage: Eukaryota; Metazoa; Chordata; Mammalia; Chiroptera; Pteropodidae. The record is from RNAcentral.